CUACGGGGCGCUGCAGGCGAGAAAACUUUGCAAUGUGCGAAAGCACGACAAGGUUAAUCCGAGUGGUUUCUGCUAAAGGAACCUUUUGACAGUCCUAGAAACACUGUUGAAUAAGGGGUGGGCAAGUUCUGGUGUCAGCCGCCGCGGUAAAACCAGCACCUCAAGUGGUCAGGAUGAUUAUUGGGCCUAAAGCAUCCGUAGCCGGCUCUGUAAGUUUUCGGUUAAAUCUGUACGCUCAACGUACAGGCUGCCGGGAAUACUGCAGAGCUAGGGAGUGGGAGAGGUAGACGGUACUCGGUAGGAAGGGGUAAAAUCCUUUGAUCUAUUGAUGACCACCUGUGGCGAAGGCGGUCUACCAGAACACGUCCGACGGUGAGGGAUGAAAGCUGGGGGAGCAAACCGGAUUAGAUACCCGUGUAGUC
RNAcentral lists this ribosomal RNA (422 nucleotides) under uncultured archaeon. RNAcentral's name for it is "partial 16S ribosomal RNA". It matches the Rfam family "Archaeal small subunit ribosomal RNA", at positions 323 to 746 of the family's 1478-position model. The record is from RNAcentral.